Molecule: transfer RNA, 77 nt
Filed under: Pararhodospirillum photometricum DSM 122
Lineage: Bacteria; Pseudomonadati; Pseudomonadota; Alphaproteobacteria; Rhodospirillales; Rhodospirillaceae
Description: tRNA-Met
Rfam family: tRNA (bases 25-77)
About the family: Transfer RNA (tRNA) molecules are approximately 80 nucleotides in length. Their secondary structure includes four short double-helical elements and three loops (D, anti-codon, and T loops). Further hydrogen bonds mediate the characteristic L-shaped molecular structure. tRNAs have two regions of fundamental functional importance: the anti-codon, which is responsible for specific mRNA codon recognition, and the 3' end, to which the tRNAs corresponding amino acid is attached (by aminoacyl-tRNA synthetases). tRNAs cope with the degeneracy of the genetic code in two manners: having more than one tRNA (with a specific anti-codon) for a particular amino acid; and 'wobble' base-pairing, i.e. permitting non-standard base-pairing at the 3rd anti-codon position.
Source: RNAcentral
CUCUAAACACACGGCUCUCGCGGCGGCGGAGUAGCUCAGCAGGUUAGAGCAGCGGAAUCAUAAUCCGCGUGUCGGGG